This 301-nucleotide ribosomal RNA is filed under the name uncultured bacterium. RNAcentral describes it as "partial 16S ribosomal RNA". It matches the Rfam family "Bacterial small subunit ribosomal RNA", at positions 509 to 808 of the family's 1533-position model. The record is from RNAcentral.
CAGCCGCCGCGGUAAUACGUAGGUCCCGAGCGUUGUCCGGAUUUAUUGGGCGUAAAGCGCGUCUAGGCGGUUAUAUAAGUCUGAUGUGAAAAUGCAGGGCUCAACUCUGUAUUGCGUUGGAAACUGUAUAACUAGAGUACUGGAGAGGUAAGCGGAACUACAAGUGUAGAGGUGAAAUUCGUAGAUAUUUGUAGGAAUGCCGAUGGGGAAGCCAGCUUACUGGACAGAUACUGACGCUGAAGCGCGAAAGCGUGGGUAGCAAACAGGAUUAGAUACCCGCGUAGUCCCUGUCUCUUAUACA